RNAcentral lists this long non-coding RNA (5651 nucleotides) under Olea europaea (common olive). RNAcentral's name for it is "long non-coding RNA (OEUR_LNC004058)". Lineage: Eukaryota; Viridiplantae; Streptophyta; Magnoliopsida; Lamiales; Oleaceae. The record is from RNAcentral.
CUCAAUCUCCAAAAUAGCAAGAAACUCAAACUGUCAGACCAAACCUGACACACCAAAGGCCAAACAACCGGCCAAAGUUACUGUAGCACAAAGAGUUUCACAGGAUACUUCUAAAAUUACAAUGGUCUCAUGAAAAACCACAAGAAUCUAACCAAAAUAGAAGAAGAAGAAGAAGAAAUCCCUAGAAGAAACCAAAGAGAGAAAAACUCAAGAAGUCAGAAACCUUUCAAAAUCGUGUGUCUCGAAAAACAAAUGGACUGACCGUUUAAAAACCACCACAGAAAAAUCAGAUUUCAUUUCAGCUAUUGAUCUGUAAUGGACGGUCAGGAUAAGAGUUAAAGAAACACAACUCGCGUGAAGCUCCAUGGGCCAAUUGGGUGUUGCCACUUGGGCCAUCCACGUCCAGAAGACCCUUUUGCCUUUAAUUAAAGUGUCAAUAGAUUUGAGAAGCACGUUUUUACAAUCUUCACCUUGGUUUUCAAAUCAACUACUGUCUCACGUAUGCUAACUUUUGCAAAUAAAAACUAACUUAGCCCUAUAUCAUUGCUCUUUGUACCUGCAAGAAAAUCAACAUGUAUCAAUAUGGAGAAUAGACAAACAUGAUCUAAACUUAUUAACAGGUAAAAUUUUCGUUCCCAUAUUAGAUGGGUUUCAAUCAGUGUGAACUUUAUUAAGAUUCACAUCACCAGAAAAUAUCUUCUCUCUUACGAAGUGAUACUUCACCUCAAUGUGUUUAGACCUCUCAUGAUACAUAUGGUUCUUACUCAAUCGUAAGGCACUUUGGCUGUCAGUAAACAUUGUUGGGGUCCCUUGUAGAAAAUUUAACUCAGUUAAGAUUCCUUUCAGCCAUAAACACACUUUUACAGAUUCAGUGAUGGCUAUAUAUUCUGCCUCAGUACUAGAUAGAGUGACUAUUGGUUGUAAUUGAGAUUUUCAGGUAAUACAGUUCCCUCCAAUGUAAAGAAGAAGGCAGAAGUAGAUCUUCUCUGAUCUUUGUCACCAGCAAAGUUAGAGUCUACAUAUCCAAUAAGAGUUAAGUUCUCAAAUCUCUUUUCAAAAUUCAAACCAAUGGUUAAUGUUCCAAAAAUAUAUCUUAGUAAACAUUUUAAACCUGCCCAAUGGAGUUUACCAGGAUUUAACAUAAAUCUACUUAGAAAACUAAUAACAUAGGCUAAAUCAAGUCUUGUUGUACUCAUUGAAAACAUGACAGACCCUAUUGCAUUAGCAUAUGGAAUGUUUCUCAUCUCUCUCAUCUCAAUUUCAAUUUUUGGUAAUUGGGCAGUAGAGAGGUUCAUGUGGGCAACUAGAGGUACAUUUACGGACUUGGCAGGAUUCUUGAGAUAUUGUCAGUUUAUUACUAAGCCUAUCUCUCUUUAUAACCAUCCCUAGGAUUUUCUUAGCAUUGCCUAAGUCUUUCAUAUCAAACUCAGAUUUCAAAGGAUUUCAAGUCUUUCAAUUUUAGGCAUGCUGGAACUUGCUAGAAGCAUAUCAUCUACAUAGAAAAGAACGUAUACUUCACUUCCAACCUUAGCAUUAUUAAAGUAUAAAUAGUGAUCAUACUCAAUCCUCUUGAAUCCAAUUUUCAGCACAUAUGUGUCAAACCAUAUAUACCAUUGCCUCGGGCUUUGUUUAAGCCCGUACAAGGAUUUUUGUAACUUACACACAAAAUCCUGUUUAUCCUUCACCUCAAAACUUUGAGGCUGACACAUAUAAAUGUCCUCUUCCAACUCACCAUGUAAGAAUGCGGUCUUGACAUCUAAUUGUUCAAGUUCCCAAUUGAAUUGAACAACUAGUGCAAGAAUCAUUCUUAUAAUUUUUAUAUUUUAUGAUAGGUGAAAAUAUUUCAUUAUAAUCCACUCAUUCUUUCUGAGUAAAGCCCUUAGCCACUAGCCUGGCUUUAUACCUAAGUGGUUCAGAUGAGUUAUUCCUUUCUUUUAACUUGUAAAUCCACUUACACUGAACGAUCCUAUGAUUAUUAGGCCUUUUUACCAACUUUCAGGUUUUAUUUUCAGUUAGGGACUACAUUUCUUCCCUCAUAGCAACUUUCCAAUUAGCAGCAUUAGGACAAUUCAUAGCCUCCUCAAAGGUAGUGGGUUCUUAAUUUUCUAAUGCUUCACCUGAAGUUAAGGCAAACUCAGUCAUGUUAAUAAUUUGAUAUCUGGGAUUAGGUUUCACUUGCCUUCUUUCCCUAUCCCUAAUAAGUUGGUAGUCUUGAUUAAUAGGUUCGGUGUUAGGAUUUUUAGGAGUGGUUUCAAUCUCAGGUUCAUUUUCUAUGUUGGGAAAACUAACUUCACCUUCAUCUGACUCCUCAACUCUCUCUGAAGUUUCCUGUACAGUAGGUUCAUUAUCCUCAGGUGAUGAGUUAAUGAACCUAAUUAACCUGAUUACAUUAGUAGAAAUGUUUCCUUUAUUUGGGUCAGCUUAUUUUUCAGUCCUAUUCUUCAAACAUGGCAUUUCAGAUUCAUUAAACACAACAUUCACACUGUUGAUAAUUUUUAUGCUUUUGCCAUCUAAGACCCACAGUCUAUAGCCCUUUACCCCUUCAGGAUAUCCUAACAAAACACAUUUAGUUGCCCUAGGAUCCAGUCUUCCUUCUGUUUGGUGUGCAUGUGCUACACAUCCAAACACUCUAAUGUGGGAUAGAUCAGGUGGUUUUCCAGUCCACAAUUCUUGGGGUGUUUUCAAAUCAACGGAGAUGCUAGGGGACCUAUUUAUUAGGCAUGCAACAGUACAAACAGCUUCAGCCCAGAACCCUUUUGCAAGUCCUGAGCUAAUAAGAAGGCAUCUGACUUUAUUCAUAAGAGUCCUGUUCAUUCUUUCGGCAACCCCAUUUUGUUUGGGUGUGUUUCUAACAGUCCUAUGUCUAACUAUCCUCUUUUGCUUACAAAAGUUCUCAAAUUCAGAAUUACAGAACUCUAAUCCAUUGUCAGCCCUUAAUGUUUUUAGUUUCUUAUUCAACUGAUUUUUUGUCAUUUUAAGUCAGGUUCUAAAUUUCUAGUAAGUUUCAGAUUUAGCCUUUAAAUGGUAAACCCAAACUUUUCUGGAAUAGUCAUCAAUUAUAGACAAAAAAUAUUUGUUUUCCCAAAAGUGGGAUGACUUUCAGGUCCCCACAGGUCAGAGUGUACAUAAUUCAAAGGUCUAUUUGUGGUGUGGGACCCUACAUUGAAACUCACCUUAUGGGAUUUGCCUAAUGCACAAGUCUCACAAAAUUGUAUAGGCUCUAUUAUAUCUUUCCCAAGUAAUUUUUGGUUACUUAGAUAUUUCAGGCCCUUGUUACUAAUAUGACCCAUUCUAUUAUGCCAAAGUUCAGACCUCUUCUCAGUUACAGCCAAAGAACUAUUAUCUUGGGCAGUCAUGGUUUCUCCAGCAAGAUAAUAAAAUCCAUUCCUCUUGGGUCCCUUCAACACAACAAGUGAUCCCUUCAUCACUUUUAAUGUAUUAUUAUCAGACUUAAAUGUGUACCUUUCAUCUUCAAGGACCCCUAAUGAGAUAAGGUUUCUCUUUAAAUUUGGGACAUGCCUAACAUUUUUAUUUGUCUCACAAUACCAUCAUGCAUUUUAAUGGCAAUGUCACCAAUCCCCUAUGCAGUUUGUGAGUUAUUAUCUCCCAUGUACACUUUCCUAGGUUCAAUUGGUUUGUAGUUAUAGAACCAAGAUCUGCUAGGGCUCAUGUGAAAUGUACAUCUAGACUCUAAGAUCCAAUCCUCAUCACUAUCAUCAUUAGACACAGCCAUUACAAGAAGGCUAUCCAAAUCAAAAGUAACAGUUGCAUUGUUCAAGUCAACAGUACUUUGAUCCUUUUGUUUCUUCUUGAAUUCAAAUAGUCUCUUUUAAAGUGUCCAAGUUUUCCACAGUGAUAGCACUUUUUAUUACUUUUAUCCCUAGAUUGGAUCUACCUCUGGAUUUAGAUCUGAAUUUUCUGUUCUGGGCAUGGUUGUCUUUCUUUUCAGAUCUCCCUCUCACAAACAUGCUUUCCUCUCUUGAGUGUAAUUUAGAUUCUUUCUUGACCUCUAGUUAUCUAGCUCUCAAAGCAUUUGUUACCAUAGACUGAGUUAAGUCAUCCCUUGAGUUUUUUAUGGCAUUCCUUAUAUCUCUAUAAGAUUCAGGUAAUGAGUUAAGUAAUAUAGUAGCAAGGUCUUCAUUAUCAAAUUUUUUGUCAUUGUGUGCAAGACUCUUUACCAGAAUGCUAAAAUCACUCAAGUUUGCUUCAAGGUCUUUUCCAGUGUCCAUCUUGAAACUAAAUAAUUUUUCUAGCAAAUAGAUUUUAUGAGGUAGUGUCUUGGUCAAGAACAAUGCAUCAAGUGUAGUCCACAAGGCUCUAGUUGUUUUAGAUUCUUCAACUUGUCUCACAAUAUUAUCAGAUAAAUGCAAGAUAAUUAAACUGUAAGCAAUGUCAUUCAUUUCUUGAAUUUCAUUAGGUUUAGCCUUUAAUUCAUAAGAAAAUGUUGCAGGAUCAUCCAGGGCCUUAGCUACCCUUUGUUGGACUAAUAUAGCCCUCAUUUUCUGCUUCCUUAUCGAGUAAUCCCCCUUUCCAUCGAAUUGAGAAAACUCGACCUUCGAACCCAUUACAGGUUCUGUAAAAGAGUGAUGAUUAACUAGUGGACAUAAGUGAGUCUUAAUUACUAAUCACUUAAGUGCAGAAAAGGUUUUGAAAAAACUUUUACAACAAUUAAAAAGGUGAACAGAUUCAAGAAUGACAAUGUAGUAUUCACAAGAGUAUGCAAGCUAUCACAAUACAGUCAACCAAUAACCAAUCUCAAGAUCACGUAAUACAAUAUAUUGAGAUUACCAACUUAAAACAUGCUUAAAGAUCAUCUUAUAUAGAUAUCAUAUACAAGACAAAAGUUGUUCUCAAAAUUUAUUAACUAGUAUUAUCCAAUUUCAAGAACACUAAGAGCAUGCUUUUCAGUUUAUGAAUAAACGCAGUUAAAACGGUCUCACCCACAGCAAGGCUGCCAUAUUAGAUUAUACACACUCAAUCCAUCUUUCAAGUCCAGGAGCCAUGUUUCUCUAGUUAUGGCUUUCAGCCACUGCACUUAAAAAAAAUCGAUCAGUAACAGUUCCAAGAAAAAUAUUCAAUAACAAAAAUAUGAGUAAAUGUGGAUCAAGAAAAACGAUUCUCUCGGAGUAGACUGUGGCUUGGUGUUCCAGAAACCCUAUGCUUUGAUACCAGAAUUUGUUAGGAAUUUCGACAUUCUUUUGUUUGCUCGUGUAAAAUAUGGCCAAUCAUUCAACGAAAACAGUAAAGAACACAAAAUCUUAUUCACCCAGUUCGACUAAAAUGCCUAAUCUGGGGGCUCAGAGGUAAGCCCGUCCACUAUGUGCAAAAAUAACCCUCCAAGAGACAGUGACAACUUUGGAACCACACUCAGACACUGGGUUUGAUCAUCGAUCCAAAGGAUCUCACACAAAUCAACCCUCAAUCAUCAAAACAAUAAGAAACUCAAAUUGCCAAACCAAACCCGACACCCCAAAGGCCAAACAACCGGCCAAAGUUAUCGUAGCACAGAGAGUUUCACAGGAUACUUCUAAAAUUAUAAUGUUCUCAUGGAAAAUCAUAAGAAUCAAAACCAAAAUAGAAGAAGAAGAAGAAGAAGAAAUCUCUCGAAGAGACCAGAGAGAGAGAAAAACUCAAGAAGUCAGAAACCCUUC